Malania oleifera is the source of this 106-nucleotide small nucleolar RNA. The record is from RefSeq and is a predicted model, not a curated record. Lineage: Eukaryota; Viridiplantae; Streptophyta; Magnoliopsida; Santalales; Ximeniaceae.
ACUUGGUGAUGUGGGAAUUUGUGCAAGAGGUCCCUAAAGCACUCCCAAGUGUCAAAAAAAAGUUCCCUAUCGAAUUGUGAGAAACUAGUAAUGGCCUUCCUCAGCU